UGACCAGGUGAGUAAUGCAAAAGACUGUGUACAUCACACACUGACUUUGAAAAGGAUCGAAAAAUACCAAACUUCAUAUUAUUUCGUAAUAACCCAGCAGACAUAUUUCAAUUGCACAUGUGUUCUCUUGAUACAGGAUGACGGUGUAUAUGAGAAUAAUCCUCCUAAAACAAAAACCACACAGAUGAAACCUAUCAACAUGACUAUGACCAGACAAGUGCAUAAGAGGCAAGAAUAUGCAGUCUACGAGAACUCACAUGAACUUUAUGGAAAUCUCUGAUCAUAGUGUUAAGCAAUGAAAUUCAGAGAACCAGUUUAAACCUGAUGGUUAUAAGAAUAAUUUUUUUAAUACAUGCAUAGGAGACAAGUAUUUUGUACUUCCUCAUAUGACCACAAGGGGCACUAUGUCUGAUUCUGUUUCUUUCCUUUUACCUUUUUUUAAUAUAUACAUUUGUUGUUCCAUUUGAAGACAAUUUCUGCUCCUGACUUUAUUUUGUAGAAUCAUAUUUUGCAUAGCUGUUUGUUGUAUCUCACGUUACUACUCAUAUCAAUAUGAAAAUAUUACCAUUAUGGCAAUAAAAUAAAACUUCAUAAUCAUAGUCUCUACCUGUGUUUUUCAAAAUAAUUCCUUUAUUUACAUGCAUUAACCAAGUAGUAUUGUGUUGUGUAUUUCUCAAUGUCAUCUUUAAAGCUGCUGUGUAAUUUUAUGUUGAAAUCAUUUUACCUCUACCAGAAUAAUAUGCAGUAUAUAAUAAUUACGCUUCUAGACAGAUGGCCCAUCUCAAAAUAUACCUUUUUUUUUCACCAAACAUUAGUGCUAAGUGCAAAAUUAGCUCACCACUGGCCAGUGGCCACUGUCUGUCUUGAAGCAAGAACCAUUAAUGUCAAAUACAGGGUGUUGUAAUGUCCUAAAACAAAACGUUUUCAGCUGGUUUCAGUGUGCUGACAUAUCAGCCCAUAGAGACAGAAACAUUACAGCUCAGACCAAUGAAAAACAUCAAGCACACAAAGGAAGUGGUCCUUGGACUCUGCAAACAUCUGUGGUAUUUCAAGUCUAUGAAAACACAAACAUGCCCCUCUAUCUCCAUUAUCUGGAGACUUAAAGGCUUCUCUGUUAAAGCAGCAAAGAGAUCACACACAACAGGAUUACUGCUCAAAAUGAAGUUAUUCUGUGUUGUUUGGCUCUUGAUCUUUCUGUCAGGAUUUGGGAUAGCAAUCACCCGAGAGAUUUAUACACAUGGAUGCAGUGGAAAACAUGUCAUAAUUACAUUUUCCCAUAAAAGGGCAUUAAAAAAAAACCUCAAGUAUUUCUGCAGAGAUCCAUGCACAUAUAAAACUAGUGUUCGGGUCUCAUCUGAUCAAUCACUUAAUGGGAGAUACAGACUGGAUGAUUUGGGAAACGGCUCCUCCACUGUGAACAUCACUGAUCUACAGGAGUCAGACUCUGGCAUUUACUGGUGUGGAGUGAAGAGACCCAUAAGAGACACAUAUGAUAAAGUCACUCUGACAGUAUCUAAAGAUCCAAAUGAAAGCAUCACCACAUCCACACAACCAUACAAAGAAACACAAACAUGCCUGGAUUUGCACACCACUACACCAGUAGCACAUUCAGAAUCUCUGUCUACCACACCAAGCCUAACCUCCAGAGAGUCAAGUCCUGAUGUCCUCAAACUCAGUAACAGUGUCUGCACACACAAUUUGCUGUGGGUGGUCUGGUCAUAGCAGCGAUAUUAUUUUUAGUUGGAUUGGUCACUGUUCAUCAGAGCAGAAACAGAGUCAAGACAUCAGAAAGUAUGUGCACAUGACUGUGCUAAAUAUCAAAACUUAAUGCCUGAUUUGCAUUAAAAAAUAAGCCAAUACUCUUAUCUCUUUUCACAGUUUUCUUAUGUUGUGCAACAGCAACGCCUGGCAAAGUUGAAGAGGUGAGUAAUGCCAGUGAUUCUGCAAGGCAGUUACUGUCUACAAACAGGAAUUAAACAUCUUUACAUCUGAUCUUUACAUCUUUACAUCUGGUCAAAUGUUUAAUCUUUACAUCAUUUUACAAAGGUCUGGCAGCUACAUUAACAAUGUGCUUUUGUUUUGGCACAGAACAGCACAGAGAUGAAAUCUACAGAUGAGACUGAAGUCAAGAAAAGCCAAUCAGAUUCAGUCUAUCAGAAUCUAAACCUCAGCACGGUCCAAUCAAAUGAAGUAUAUGGAAAUCUCGGAUUGCUGAAUCAUUUAGUAAUAUUCAGAGUACCAGUCUCUAGACUAACAAUCCCAGAUCUCAAGUACAUUUAAUUCAACAAGCCUGUAAAAUACAAGUUUAUUAUGUACAGAGAAUAAGUAUGAAGAUAAAUAAAAAAAAUUAAAAAAAAGAAUCA
This is a long non-coding RNA of Cyprinus carpio (common carp), 2363 nucleotides long. NCBI's taxonomy places the organism in Eukaryota, Metazoa, Chordata, Actinopteri, Cypriniformes, Cyprinidae. The record is from Ensembl.